RNAcentral lists this ribosomal RNA (86 nucleotides) under Zhouia amylolytica. RNAcentral describes it as "partial 23S rRNA. Bacterial LSU". It matches the Rfam family "Bacterial large subunit ribosomal RNA", at positions 2839 to 2925 of the family's 2925-position model. Lineage: Bacteria; Pseudomonadati; Bacteroidota; Flavobacteriia; Flavobacteriales; Flavobacteriaceae. The record is from RNAcentral.
UGGAGAUGACAACGUUGAUAGGCUAUAGGUGCAAGUGCAGUAAUGCAGGUAGCCGAGUAGUACUAAUUACCCGUAAGCUUAUGUAC